ACCGACACGGAUGUCGGUGGUUCUAAGCAGAAGCGCGUUUUGCUGAGCAAAACGUGCUAUCAAACCUGUACAAGGAUGUACAGGUUUGAUAAACG
Molecule: non-coding RNA, 95 nt
Organism: Treponema sp. OMZ 838
Lineage: Bacteria; Pseudomonadati; Spirochaetota; Spirochaetia; Treponematales; Treponemataceae
Source: Rfam